RNAcentral lists this ribosomal RNA (642 nucleotides) under Anaplasma phagocytophilum. RNAcentral describes it as "bacterial SSU rRNA". It matches the Rfam family "Bacterial small subunit ribosomal RNA", at positions 815 to 1456 of the family's 1533-position model. The record is from RNAcentral. Lineage: Bacteria; Pseudomonadati; Pseudomonadota; Alphaproteobacteria; Rickettsiales; Anaplasmataceae.
GCUGAAUGUGGGGAUAAUUUAUCUMSGUGUUKUAGCUAACGCGSUWAGCACUCCGCCUGGGGACUACGGUCGCAAGACUAAAACUCAAAGGAAUUGACGGGGACCCGCACMAGCGGUGGAGCAUGUGGUUUAAUUCGAUGCAACGCGAAAAACCUUMCCACUCCUUGACAUGGAGAUUAGAUCCUUCUUAACAGAAGGGCGCAGUUCGGCUGGAUCUCGCACAGGUGCUGCAUGGCUGUCGUCAGCUCGUGUCGUGAGAUGUUGGGUUAAGUCCCGCAACGAGCGUAACCCUCAUCCUUAGUUGCCAGCGGGUAAGCCGGGCACUUUAAGGAAACUGCCGGUGGUAAACCGGAGGAAGGUGGGGAUGAUGUCAAGUCAGCACGGCCCUUAUGGGGUGGGCUACACACSUGCUACAAUGGUGACUACAAUAGGUUGCAAUGUCGCAAGGCUGAGCUAAUCCGUAAAAGUCAUCUCAGUUCGGAUUGUCCUCUGCAACUCGAGGGCAUGAAGUCGGAAUCGCUAGUAAUCGUGGAUCAGCAUGCCACGGUGAAUACGUUCUCGGGUCUUGUACACACUGCCCGUCACGCCAAUGGGAAUUGGCUUAACUCGAAGSYGGWGCGCUAACCGAAAGGAAGCAGCCAU